RNAcentral lists this ribosomal RNA (322 nucleotides) under uncultured eukaryote. Its description in RNAcentral is "partial 18S ribosomal RNA". It matches the Rfam family "Eukaryotic small subunit ribosomal RNA", at positions 1470 to 1796 of the family's 1831-position model. The record is from RNAcentral.
CCCUUAGAUGUUCUGGGCCGCACGCGUGCUACACUGAGUGGAUCAGCGGGUCAGGUUACGCGAGAGCGUUUCCUAAUCUUCAAAUCCGCUCGUGAUGGGGAUUGACGGUUGCAAUUUUCCGUCAUGAACGAGGAAUACCUUGUAAGCGCGGGUCAUCAUCCCGCGCUGAAUACGUCCCUGCCCUUUGUACACACCGCCCGUCGCCCCUACCGAUUGAGUGGUCCGGUGAGGCUUUGGGAUCUAAGCGAAAAGAGCGUUUCGCUCCUUUUGCUGGGAGAACUCAGUCGAACCUUAUCAUUUAGAGGAAGGAGAAGUCGUAACA